GGGCCCGCACAAGCGGUGGAGCAUGUGGUUUAAUUCGAUGCAACGCGAAGAACCUUACCUACUCUUGACAUCCAGAGAAUUCGCUAGAGAUAGCUUAGUGCCUUCGGGAACUCUGAGACAGGUGCUGCAUGGCUGUCGUCAGCUCGUGUUGUGAAAUGUUGGGUUAAGUCCCGCAACGAGCGCAACCCUUAUCCUUGUUUGCCAGCACAUAAUGGUGGGAACUCCAGGGAGACUGCCGGUGAUAAACCAGAGGAAGGUGGGGACGACGUCAAGUCAUCAUGGCCCUUACGAGUAGGGCUACACACGUGCUACAAUGGCGUAUACAGAGGGCUGCAAGCUAGCGAUAGUAAGCGAAUCCCACAAAGUACGUCGUAGUCCGGAUUGGAGUCUGCAACUCGACUCCAUGAAGUCGGAAUCGCUAGUAA
RNAcentral lists this ribosomal RNA (425 nucleotides) under uncultured bacterium. Its description in RNAcentral is "bacterial SSU rRNA". It matches the Rfam family "Bacterial small subunit ribosomal RNA", at positions 917 to 1341 of the family's 1533-position model. The record is from RNAcentral.